This 465-nucleotide ribosomal RNA is filed under the name Vreelandella stevensii. Its description in RNAcentral is "partial 16S ribosomal RNA". It matches the Rfam family "Bacterial small subunit ribosomal RNA", at positions 338 to 795 of the family's 1533-position model. Lineage: Bacteria; Pseudomonadati; Pseudomonadota; Gammaproteobacteria; Oceanospirillales; Halomonadaceae. The record is from RNAcentral.
CCUACGGGAGGCAGCAGUGGGGAAUAUUGGACAAUGGGGGCAACCCUGAUCCAGCCAUGCCGCGUGUGUGAAGAAGGCCCUCGGGUUGUAAAGCACUUUCAGUGAGGAAGAACGCCUGGUGGUUAAUACCCAUCAGGAAAGACAUCACUCACAGAAGAAGCACCGGCUAACUCCGUGCCAGCAGCCGCGGUAAUACGGAGGGUGCGAGCGUUAAUCGGAAUUACUGGGCGUAAAGCGCGCGUAGGUGGCUUGAUAAGCCGGUUGUGAAAGCCCCGGGCUCAACAUGGGAACGGCAUCCGGAACUGUCAAGCUAGAGUGCAGGAGAGGAAGGUAGAAUUCCCGGUGUAGCGGUGAAAUGCGUAGAGAUCGGGAGGAAUACCAGUGGCGAAGGCGGCCUUCUGGACUGACACUGACACUGAGGUGCGAAAGCGUGGGUAGCAAACAGGAUUAGAUACCCUGGUAGUC